GCGGGCUGUGUGUGUGUGUGUGUGUGUGUGCGCGCGGGCGGGCUGGUGUGCGCGCUCCCGUGUUGGGCGGGGGACACUUCCAGCCCACCCCCCGAGGCUGAACCUCGUACAGGGAAUCUCUGCGCCCUGGCAGACCCUCCGGAUACAGCCCUCCUUUCUUAGUUGUCUUGUCGGGGUAGAUAGGUAAGGGUUAAAGAAGGAUGGAGAGGAGUAAGAUAAAACUGUGGAUCUAGACUUUUUAGAAAGGUUUUCACUUACAUUCUAUCUUUUGCCUCCCCCUCUACGCCCUCCCUACGCCCCAGUCUCUCCGGCCCAAACAUCUUUCCCUCCCACUUAAUGAAAAAACAAGACUAAACGAAAACACUACAGCCCAGGCAGGUUUGUUGGCUGCUUGCUGACCUUUGAAGUGGUGUGGGGCAGGGGAUGCCAAGCGGCUGUGCGAUCUAUUGUGUUCUUGCCUUCCUGGACUGGGCAGGGCUGUUGGUAGGGAGGCCAGGCCUCUGGGCUGGGUGACAUUUCAGUCCAUCAAAGUCUGUGCUGGUUUUCCUCCGACUAAACAUGUGGUAUCUCAUACCAACAGUCUGGGUUGCUUUGUCUCACCAUGGAUUCGUGCUCUUCUUAAAUAACCGUAAGCUUCAGGCAAGGAUGCAUUUAGAUUCUGAAAGAAUCUGAACCUGUCUCUUACCCUAGAUGGGUGGGUUGGAGAGCUGGUCAUUUCAGAUUUCUGAGUCAUUUGACUUUCCCAGUGCUCAUUCCUUCUGCCUUUCACCCACAUCCACCAAUCUGUGUGGAAAGAGGAACAAGAGAGAGUUACUGGGAUCACUUUUUCUUUAAAAAAAAAAAAAAAAAUCAUUGGAGCAGGCUUUCUUGUUAGCACCCAGAGCCCCAUGGUUUGCACUUGCUGUUGCCUGGAUUAAAAAGCCAGUUUGAUCACCGAACUCCCAGUUAGUCAAGUUGUCUCAUUCAGGUGGCAACAGACAUAUUCCUUUAAUAGAGGUUGCCAAAAGCCAUCAAUUACUUGAAAUCUGGCAGUUAAAGGCAAAUUAAAAAAAAAAAAGUCAUGGUAAAGCAUAAUUUAAUUUUAAAGUUCACGUUACUGUGGGAGGAUGAAGCUCGCUGUCUGAACUUCUCAAAGACCACUGUUUUCCCUGAGCACCUGUGUUCAAGGAAAACCAAAUAUAAUCUUCUCUAUUUCUGGCCACUUGCAAAUCCAUGGCAAGAUUAUUUAAGGAUAUAAACUCUUGGGGCGCCCAGGUGGCUCAGAUGGUUGGGCAUCUGCCUUCGGCUCGGGUCAUGGUCUCGGGGUCCUGGGAUCAAGCCCCACAUCGGGCUCCCUGCUUGGCGGGGAGCCUGCUUCUCCCUCUCCCUCUACUGUUCUCCCUACUUGUGCUCUCUCGCUCUCUCUGCCAAAUAAAUAAAUAAAAUCUUUAAAAAGAAAAAAAAAAGUUUCAAAAAAAGGAUAUAAACUCUUGCUUGGAUGACCAGAGUUAAGCAAUCCAAUUAUAGUCAGUAUGUGAAUCUUCUUGUGUGGUUUUAGAAGGCUGUUUCCGGAGAGCCCCAUGAGAUGAGUGGUCUCCCUGGUGCCUCAGAUAUUACCAGCCCUCAGAUGCUCUGUGGGUCUCCAUUUCAUGGGCAGGUAGGGAGGUGGCUAUAAGGCAGCUUGCCUGGGCCUUGAGUUUGCAUUGAUAGUUGAUGAUUGGCUUUUUUAUGUGGUCUUCUCUGUGAGGAAUGGACUCUGAUCAGACUAAUAAAUUAUAGUACAGGGGAAGUGGAUUUUCAGAAUUGCCCCACCCCAUUAUGGAACACUGAACAGCAUGGCGUAUGAAAUUAGAUGACAGGGCUAGUUCAGCAGACAGGAAUAUUGUAAGUCAGCCAGAGGUCACGCAUUACCAUCAUUACCAUUCCCCUCUCCUGGGUCACCUGUAGAGUGGUAGCAUGGGAUAGUGGGACAGAGUGAGGACUCUGCAGUCCACACUCCUCCACAUGAAUCCUGGCUCCACCAUGUACUAGCUGGGUGACCUUGGGCCAGGUGCUUCCCCUUCCUUGAUUCUGGGCCUCCCUGUCUGUAAAUGGGAAUAAUAACAACUCAGGAGAAUAGAGAGGUUAUAAGAAUUAUCAGGGAAAAUGGGUAAUUUUCAUUAGUUUCAUUAGGAUAUAGUUAGUGCUUUGUAAAGAACUUUUGUUUUUGUUAGAAGCCACGUGAGUAGACAAAAUACAUGAGAUUUGGGGUCAGACACCCUGUGUUCAAAUCCCGACCUUACCGUUUGCAAGCUUUUUGAUUCUGGGCAAGUUACUUAACCUCGCUGAGCCUCAGUUUCAUUACUUGGGCAAGUGAGGACGUUAGCUAUCUUAGGCACAGUGGUGCAUUUACUGGGAAUCACACAAAACUUACGCUUCAGGUCCUCAUUUGCACAGGCUCUUCCAACACUCGGUACCUAAUUCUGUAUGCAGAAUUUUCUUUUUCUUAGGAAGGGUCUCCUCACGACGUGUAAGCUUCCCACGAACCCGGGACCUGCCUGUGUGUGUGCCGUUGGGAGACUGAGCGAGCUACCCCGUGUAAAGCAGCCAGCACAGUAUCAGGCAGGGGAUAGCUGAGCAGUCAUGGCUGCCUCCGUCAUGUCCAGAGGUGUCGUCACGAAACAAUUCCUUCAUAACUUGACCUUAGUAUAGUUGUAAUGAAAUCCACCCUGAUACUCCCAGUUCUUAGGGUUUUUUUCCAUUUGAAGAUUAUCCAUGCCCUGGCUUGUCUAUAUCAAAAAAGAGAAGAGAGGAAAGGGGUGCCAUUCAAAUGAGUAGGUUUGGCUGAUUGUGAGAAGCGUGGUAACAUAAUUUCUUUUUGUUUGUUUUUUUUAAAGGUUUUAUUUACUUAUUUGACAGAGAGAGACACAGCGAUAGAGGGAACACAGCAGGGGGAGUGGGAGAGGGAGAAGCAAGCUUACCGCGGAGCAGGGAGCCCGAUGCGGGGCUCGAUCCCAGGACUCCAGGAUCACGACCCGAGCCGAAGGCAGACGCUUAACGACUGAGCCACUCAGGUCCCCCGAGCCUGGAAGGGCAGAAUUUUAUGUUCUGUCUCGCUUGGUAAGGCCACUAAUUGUCCUGGCAUCUAGCACAGUGCCUGGUCCAAGGCCAAAGAAGGAUGAUAGCAUUAGGUGUCAGGAACGAGGUGAACGGGACAAAUAUACUUAUCCUUGGCCGGGACCUGAGACUCUGGGCACACAAGAACAGCCAGCCUCUUUUGGGAGCCAUAGAACUUUGGAGCUAUUCUGCUGAGGCCUCAAGAAAUAAAAUAGAAUCAUUGAUAAUUUAACCAAAUAACAUUAAUGGUGAAUAUGUGGGAGUCUUCUUUUUUAAAGUCGAAUUAGCUAAACAUCUUCAUAUAUGUUUAUGUAAAGAUGAUCAACUAUAUGUAAUCUUUUAUUUUAUUUUAUUUUAUUAUGUUAUGUUAGUCACCAUACAGUACAUCGUUAGUUUUUGAUGUAGUGUUCCAUGAUUCAUUGUUUGCAUAUAACACCCAGUGUUCCAUGCAGAACGUGCCCUCUUUAAUACCCAUCACCAGGCUAACCCAUGCCCCCACCCCCUCCCCUCUAGAACCCUCAGUUUGUUUCUCAGAGUCCAUAGUCUCUCAUGGUUCAUCUCCCCCUCCGAUUCCCCCCCUUCAUUUUUCCCUUCCUGCUGUCUUUUUUUUUUUUUUAAACAUAUAAUGUAUUAUUUAUUUCAGAGGUACAGGUCUGUGAUUCAACAGUCUUAACACAAUUCACAGCGCUCAACUAUAUGUAAUCCUAAAAGACUCCUUCUUGCCUAUCUACCUCAUCCCCCAAAUUGCCUCUUUUCAGGGUUAUGAAGACUUAGAACCUUAGAAUAAGAAAAAACCUGAAGCAUUACUGAAUCUGUUAUUUUAUAGUUGAGGAAACUGAGCCCGUAUCAGUUUUAAGAUAGGUGGCGGUGGGUACCAAAUUGCCUUUAUAUUAAUGUGCCACUGGAAAUGUAGAUAAUGGAAGGCCAGAUGGAGAGGUAGGGGUAGGGUCAGGCAUGCAAGCUGGGUGUCCUAAAUCACUUUUCCCAUCCCAAGGAUGACCAUAGAGCCUGUUGCCUGCAACAGUCCUGGUUUAUUUACAUCUGUUGUCCUGGCAUAAUUAUUAGCACCCUCUUUUCUUUUAAAAGAUCCCUGGUUUGGACAAUAUGUUCUAUCCCCAAUACCACACUGUCCUCCACUUCUUAGCAAUAAAGAGGAGCAAGGAGCUAAAGCCCAUUCAAGCUGUCUUCAGAAUGAUUGGAUUUUUUUUUUUUUUCUUUUUUGUAAAGCUGGAAGAGGAAGCUCAUGGGAGUCUAAGGGUGAGAACCACAGGCCAGUAAGCCCUCCUGAGAGGACAGUAGAAACUGGAAAGUCAGCAGGACCCAGGCAUACUCUGUAUCUCCCACUGCUUCCUCGGUUUUUCCCUACCAAAGUGUUUCCUCUGUUGACUCACUGUGCCCAGGCUGUUUACUCAUCGAGGGCUUCCUCAGCCCCAGCCCUAUGUGAUGCUUCAGCUGCUGAGCCUCCCAAGAGCAGGCUUUAUCUCUUGGUUUCUCCUUUCCAAAUGUGUAACAGAGUAAUGUGAUUGGCUCAGCACAAGCAGAAAUCACAGAUCCUUAAACAGAGGCACUAUCCUUGCAAGAUUCUUUAACUCCUAAGCAAAAUUAUCCAACUCCUCCCUGGCUUUUAGAAACAUGAUCUCGUGAUAUCAAAAUCAUAUUACGUUUCUUUUAGUAUCUCACUAAUUCAUGGUGACCAUGAGUGCAUUCAUUAUUAAUGGUUAAGGCAAUGGAGUAAAUCGGUAGGUCUCAGUAUAGUCCCUAGACUCUAGGAACUGCAUCAAAAUCACUUAUAGAGUUUCAAAAAUGCAGAUGAUGCCAGCAUUGCUGAAUCAGACUCCUUAGGACUGGCCCCCAAGUUAAAAAACUAACCAUGCAGCCCAUGACUGGUUUGGAUGGUGAUUAUGGCAGCCCACAUCUUUAUUCCUUGAGAUGGCAAUUCCUUUUUUUUUUUAACCUUUGUAUUUUAUUCUUUAUUUUUGUUUAUUUUUCUGAUAAGAAAUACAUGCCAUUAUAAAAAGUCAGAUACAACAAAAAAUAAUAAAGCAGAGAUAACUACUGUUAACCUAGUGUUAACUAUUCCACAUUUUUAUUUAUGCAUGUAUAGUAACAGAUACACUUUACAAAAAUGGGGUGCUUCUAUUCCCACUCUUUAUUUACUUUUAAUUUCAUCUGGUAUAGUUGACAUCUGAAAGAGAUGAUAAUUCCAGUUGAGGACGUUACUACUAGUGGUUACUAUCAUUUUUCAAGUUUACAUUAAAGGAAGGAUUUGGUAGGGGGAGGGGAAGUGUGUUGCUUGUGAGAACCGUUCUUGCUUUCUUAAUAAAGUGCAAGAUUUCAUUCUGUCAGGCCGCAGCAAAGGGGCCAUCUGUUCUGCCAGACUUUUGCUUGUUUCCUGGGGGAGAAUCAGCAGGUGGGAUUGUAAGAUCAUUAAUGCAAACAUAGGAUGUUGGCCAAGUGACUAGGCAUUUAUGGCCUGUGUCAUCAGGAUAUAUGCUCUACAUACAUGGUCUACUAAAUGCAGGGACCAUUUUUCAUCAAAGCUGGUAACCAGUCAAAAGCAA
Long non-coding RNA from Mirounga angustirostris (Northern elephant seal), 5636 nucleotides. RefSeq lists it as uncharacterized. NCBI's taxonomy places the organism in Eukaryota, Metazoa, Chordata, Mammalia, Carnivora, Phocidae. The transcript is spliced from 3 exons. The record is from RefSeq and is a predicted model, not a curated record.